Molecule: ribosomal RNA, 353 nt
Filed under: uncultured bacterium
Lineage: Bacteria
Description: bacterial SSU rRNA
Rfam family: Bacterial small subunit ribosomal RNA
Source: RNAcentral
GGGCCCGCACAAGCGGUGGAGCAUGUGGUUUAAUUCGAUGCAACGCGAAGAACCUUACCAGGGUUUGACAUCCUGCGAAUCUCUUGGAAACGAGAGAGUGCCUUCGGGAACGCAGUGACAGGUGGUGCAUGGCUGUCGUCAGCUCGUGUCGUGAGAUGUUGGGUUAAGUCCCGCAACGAGCGCAACCCACGUCGUUAGUUGCCAGCGGGUAAUGCCGGGAACUCUAGCGAAACUGCCGGUGAUAAGCCGGAGGAAGGUGGGGAUGACGUCAAGUCCUCAUGGCCCUUACAGGCUGGGCUACACACGUGCUACAAUGGCGAUGACAGUGGGCAGCGACCCCGCAAGGGUGAGCU